Molecule: non-coding RNA, 108 nt
Organism: Acanthosepion pharaonis
Lineage: Eukaryota; Metazoa; Mollusca; Cephalopoda; Sepiida; Sepiidae
Source: the annotation of a GenBank genome assembly
CGGGCACAUCACUCUGAAACGCCAAUUCACAUACGAUCACCUAAGUUAAGCAACGUCGAGCCUUGUCAGUACCUCGAUGCGUGAUUUGGGAAUAACAGGUGCUGUAAG